Molecule: transfer RNA, 71 nt
Filed under: Cottus hangiongensis
Lineage: Eukaryota; Metazoa; Chordata; Actinopteri; Perciformes; Cottidae
Description: tRNA-Trp
Rfam family: tRNA
About the family: Transfer RNA (tRNA) molecules are approximately 80 nucleotides in length. Their secondary structure includes four short double-helical elements and three loops (D, anti-codon, and T loops).
Source: RNAcentral
AGGGGCUUAGGCUAACCAAAGACCAGGGGCCUUCAAAGCCCCCAGUGGGGGUGAAAAUCCCCCAGCCCCUG